This 273-nucleotide ribosomal RNA is filed under the name uncultured bacterium. RNAcentral's name for it is "partial 16S ribosomal RNA". It matches the Rfam family "Bacterial small subunit ribosomal RNA", at positions 524 to 796 of the family's 1533-position model. The record is from RNAcentral.
UACGGAGGGGGUUAGCGUUGUUCGGAAUGACUGGGCGUAAAGCGCGCGUAGGCGGAUCAGGAAGUUGGGGGUGAAAUCCCGGGGCUCAACCCCGGAAUGGCCUUCAAAACUCCUGGUCUUGAGUUCGAGAGAGGUGAGUGGAAUUCCGAGUGUAGAGGUGAAAUUCGUAGAUAUUCGGAGGAACACCAGUGGCGAAGGCGGCUCACUGGCUCGACACUGACGCUGAGGUGCGAAAGCGUGGGGAGCAAACAGGAUUAGAUACCCCCGUAGUCC